GACGAACGCUGGCGGCGUGCCUAAUACAUGCAAGUAGAACGCUGAAGGAGGAGCUUGCUCUUCUGGAUGAGUUGCGAACGGGUGAGUAACGCGUAGGUAACCUGCCUGGUAGCGGGGGAUAACUAUUGGAAACGAUAGCUAAUACCGCAUAACAGUAGAUGCUGCAUGACAUUUGCUUAAAAGGUGCAAUUGCAUCACUACCAGAUGGACCUGCGUUGUAUUAGCUAGUUGGUGGGGUAACGGCUCACCAAGGCGACGAUACAUAGCCGACCUGAGAGGGUGAUCGGCCACACUGGGACUGAGACACGGCCCAGACUCCUACGGGAGGCAGCAGUAGGGAAUCUUCGGCAAUGGACGGAAGUCUGACCGAGCAACGCCGCGUGAGUGAAGAAGGUUUUCGGAUCGUAAAGCUCGGUUGUAAGAGAAGAACGAGUGUGAGAGUGGAAAGUUCACACUGUGACGGUAUCUUACCAGAAAGGGACGGCUAACUACGUG
Molecule: ribosomal RNA, 495 nt
Filed under: uncultured bacterium
Lineage: Bacteria
Description: partial 16S ribosomal RNA
Rfam family: Bacterial small subunit ribosomal RNA
Source: RNAcentral